RNAcentral lists this ribosomal RNA (450 nucleotides) under uncultured bacterium. Its description in RNAcentral is "partial 16S ribosomal RNA". It matches the Rfam family "Bacterial small subunit ribosomal RNA", at positions 29 to 523 of the family's 1533-position model. The record is from RNAcentral.
AGCGAACAUUGGCGGUAGGCUUAACACAUGCAAGUCGAGCGAGGCGUAAUAGUCGAGCGGCGAACGGGUGAGUAAUACAUGGAAAUCUACCCUGAAGUGGGGGAUAACGUCCAGAAAUGGACGCUAAUACCGCAUAAUCCAUAUUGGGAAAGCGUUGCAGCGCUUUAGGAUGAGUCCAUGGCUGAUUAGCUUGUUGGUGAGGUAACGGCUCACCAAGGCGACGAUCAGUAGCUGGUCUGAGAGGAUGACCAGCCACACUGGAACUGAGACACGGUCCAGACUCCUACGGGAGGCAGCAGUGGGGAAUAUUGGACAAUGGGCGCAAGCCUGAUCCAGCCAUGCCGCGUGAGUGAUGAAGGCCUUCGGGUUGUAAAGCUCUUUUGGCGGGGACGAUGAUGACAGUACCCGCAGAAUAAGCCCCGGCUAACUUCGUGCCAGCAGCCGCCGUAA